Molecule: non-coding RNA, 10860 nt
Organism: Gasterosteus aculeatus aculeatus (three-spined stickleback)
Lineage: Eukaryota; Metazoa; Chordata; Actinopteri; Perciformes; Gasterosteidae
Source: RefSeq, a predicted model, not a curated record
CUAAAAACAGGCCCAACUCCACCAACAGAGCACCUGUUCACGGCUGGGAUGCCCCGCAGCACUGUGGACUUGGCGGGCCGCUGCUGCCGGAGUACCAGAGAAUCCACCCUGCAGAGACAGAGCCCUUUGAUAUGUGACCACUUCAAAACCACACACACAAUGGAAGCAGUCAAUUGUGGAAAUAGCACAAGUUGACGUUGUGUGGGCCAGGUUUGCUGGAAAGCCAACCCUGCACCUUAUUUUUUCCACCCGUGUAUAUAUUCUGCGGAGAAACAUAUUUUACAUUCUGGACAUGUGUAAAAUCAUGCUAACAAAUUCAUUUUUUGUACCCACACGAUUCCAAAUUUCAAACUAUUGCACCAUUGGCGAGAGCAUAUGGGACAAGGCAGGUGAAACGCAGUGACCUGGCAAACAGUCCAAAGACCGAUGAGAGUCGGGUACACGUCAGAAGGCACUGGGUGUGUUGGCACAAACAGCAUCCAGAAUGUGGAUCAGAGAGACAGCCAGCACUCCUUAGCUUAUUACUCUCUUAUUAGGAACAUUUUUGCCUUGCAUGGUUUGGCAGAGUCCCGCUAGCCGCCCUCUUCACAUGGCCCGGGCUCUGUCAGAGCUGAUCAAAAGACAUUUCUUCACAUCUCCAGACGCCAAGGAAAAAAGGAGAAGAAAAGAAGGAGAGAAGAAAAGAGCCAGAAGGGGGCAUACUGCUCUCUCUUUACUCUGGUCUUUUGGUGAAUGAAGACUUUUCACAAUGCCCUCUCUUUUUUUCUUCAUUUUUUUUUUCAUUCUUCCAUUGGCAAAGAAAGAGAAAGAAAAAAAAAAACAGCAUCCCCAUCGCGUUUCACCAAAUUGUUUUUUGCCAUAUCAAAAACAAUUGUCCUCAGGUGAAGAAUGCGCCUGCACAAUUACAACUAUUCCGGGGGGGGAGAAAGAGGUCUUCACAAAUCUGACUGGGCUUCCAGGCAGCCAAGACCCCCUCGAAGUGGUAAUGAAAAGUGUAACUUUAGCCUCCCAGCUGUACGUCUCAAUCCAUAAUCCUUCCCCAAAAACCUCACCGUAGUGCCGCCUACCACUCCCAUGGCGUUCCCAGCCUGUGCCGGGCUGGGCCUGUACUCUGAUUUAUGAGGCAGUCCUGUGUCAUACUCUCAACCUGAAAAGGAUUUCUUCUCUUAUGUGUACCAGGGUGGUCAGGGCAGCUCUCUGGAAAGACAGAAAGCCCCGUCUCCCGGGCCUCAAUCACCAGAGAGUCUUCUCACCCCUCUGAGCCAAUAACCAGGACAUUUUGGACAUUACCAGAAUCAGACGAGUCUUCAGUGUUUCAAUAGUGGUGUGUUUCAGCAGUGCAGAGGUCAGAGUCCAUGCAACCCGUGCCUACACAGCCGCAUGGCCAUAAUUUGCUCUCAGGUCAGGCCGAGGGCCCAGCAGGCUCCCGGCACAGGUCACAGAGGGCCUCAACAUCCCAGGGAUGAGAUUCCAGACUGGCAUGAAGAAGAGUGUUUGAUGUGGACCUGAGCUGGGCUAUGUUACCAUGUUGCUAUGCCUUUAAUUAGCUCCAGCAGCUGCUACUUCCUGGUGGACGGGCCCUGGCAAACCGCAGUGUCUCUGUAAUCCCUCACAGGUGACAGUCAGUCGCACGUCAGCUCAUUGCGCGGUGACAGGCAGUGUGUUCUGCUUUGAGUCAGGUAGUGGAGCUUUAGUAAGCAACACCGCUGUUUACCAAGUUAAUUAACUGUGAAGUGACUGCAGACACUAAAUAAAAUAAAAUAAAAAAAUGCCCACGGCGCUAUAAUGACCACAGCGUGUUUCCAAAUAUGUUAUGCAAAUACGUCUCUAAGCACCAAUCCCCUGCCCAUUAUUUUUUUUUUUUACAACUUUAGGUGUCUGUUUUCUGAGGAUGCAAUCAUGAUUAAGAGACUGCAAAGUUCUCUUGGUGACAGUAAAAGUGCCACUCCGCAUUGUUUAUCUGGAUUUCCAGCUUGCGCAAAGACAUCUAAACCCCGGGAAAUUACCCUCCGAGGACGGACGGCUUGAAAUUGAUGCCAGAGCAGAAGAGCGCACCUUGCUCCCCGCUCUCCUUUGUCACACCCAGGUUGGUGGAUCUUUCCUUAAAACUACCAGAGAUGAAAAAACUGGGAGACUUGGCAGCUGGCUAGGGCAUACUAAUACCCUGGACUCAUUAACUUAAUGGGGGCCAGAUUCCCCGCGCUGAAUCUGCACUGAUGCCCUUUGAGUUUGCCGGGGCCACAGGGUGUGCAGCACAUUGAGAGCCCUGACCGGCAUAUUGAACGUAUUUUAAUGGAAACCUUUUUUAGACUCGCCGCCGUUAAGGCCCCGCACCUCUCUGUGUGAUCUCGUCAGAUAGCCACUCUAUCCUCAGAUUCAGGCCCGGAGAGGGGGGAGGGGACCUCGCGCGUUAAAUCAGGCCAGAGGUGGCCGUAUCUCAACUGAGGCCAUUCUUUGCUGGAGAUGUGGAUCCUGGAGACGUGGCUCUGAGUGAGCUUUGAUGUAUUAACUUGCCCCGCGUAGGACUGGAACAGGAAGAGGCCGACGUUCAGCGGGAUUGCCUCUUAUUGGACAGCCGUCUACAGAGUGUUGAUUUAACUACUCAAUUCUACCAUUCACCUAGCCACUUAAGGCUGCACUAUAAAAUUGAUUCAGUGCCACAUAUGCCCAUUAUAGACAUAAUUGCCCAAUGUGAAGACUCCACUGCCAAUCACUUCAUUAUAGGCAAGCCUCAGGAUUAUAUAGAAUCCAAUAAGGAUGCUCUGAAUUGCAAGAUGUGAAGGGCAACUAAAAAAGAUAUUGUUUUUGAUGGCAAUAUAUUGAUACCAUGGGAGGAAUAGAAUAUUAAUACAUGAAUUUAGCAUAUUUGCCCGACAGCAAAAAGAUGAAUUGAUAAGAAAAGAAAGCUGGUGAAUUUGCAUGACAAAAAAGUCCCUUUAGAGUACUAAUAUAUCACCCUCAUGGAUAACAGAAUUGCAUGUGCCAGAUGUUGAGAUAGGGAGAAUUGAUCUUCGAUGAUAUUAAGAUAUUAAGCCUUUACUAUUUUGAGCUUUAAGUGAUAUAGGAGUUAGGUAUCAGCAAACAAAGGCGUGUAUAUCUUUACUUGCCCUUAGCUGAGAGGACUAUAAUCUUGCUUUCACUUCUUCUUGACUGCGUGCUCUUGAACGCCACGAAGCAGGAAAACCUGUCCGACAUUGAUGAGAUUAUACGCGGUCAGGAAUGAGCGGGCAGGACUCAUCCCCGCGGACAGAAACACCCUUUAACCGCAGCAGAAUAAGUAGAGUGGAUACUGACAGGAAGAUGCAUCGUAUGAGACAGACAACGAGGCUCCAGCUGCCGAAUAUAAUGAAUAAACAGAAAUCCAGUCACGCUAAAAAUGGCUGACUCAUGUUCGCAGCAUAGGAGCGAUCGCAUUUCUCAAAUACAACUCUCUCUCUCUCUCUCUCUCCCGCUCUAUUGUGCCCUCGACGUGUGGCAAAACAACACCAUGCAUACCUUUUAAAGAAACCCAUGUUGGGAAACCAUUGGAUUCUCAUAGCUGGCUUUUGACAGUAAUUAUUUCAUGAAGUCUUUGAUUUGAAGCUUGAUCGCCACAGCUGCAACAUCGGCGGGUACGUCUUCUCAUUAGCGAUUCCAUAAGCAGAGAGCAAGGAACUGCUGUAGCGGCUCCCACUUACAUGCCUCCCACUCUAACGUGUGGUGGUAAUUUAUUCUCUCCACAGUGCUCAUCAUUCUGAUGCAACUCACACAGUGACAGGAAUCCAUCUCUGUGGUACCCGGCAACAAAGAGGGAGGUGGGCUAAAGGGAGGGCGGCGCACGUAUUCCUGCUACCACAAUCAGAGGGGAGAGGAGCGGUUGCCAGGCAGGUUUAGAACAUCCGUACAGGCCACAUUUGUGCCAGGCGGACAUCCUGUGAACACUAGAAGCAGAGCGAGGAGGUAAUAACAGUUCGCCGGCUGCGAUUUGAUCGCAUGUAAGCAAUCUUCUUCUGCCAAAUACUUUCUCAGAGUAUACGGCUCAAGCACUUCAAAGUUGAGUACUAUAUAGAGAGUAUGAUUCAUUUGGCAGCUCAUGUUGUCCAGCUUCAAAAAGCUAAAGCUAGUCAGAGACACACUGUGGGCUGUUUUCAGCUUCAGAGGAGGGAAAGAAUUUGGCUUGAGCUUAGGCCGCCCAUCCCCAUCCUGGGAUGGGCUCUUUUUCAUCUUAUCGUGGUCUUAGCGCAUUGGCGUGGCGACUAUGUGCUUCACAGGUGGGAGUCUGCCUCUGUCAAAUAAGCCAGUUCACUAAGGACGGGAUUUGCCGCUGUUAUUUUUCUAUUAGGGAAGAAUUAUGUUAAGCCUUUAGAGGCCAUCUUUGUGUUGCUAUGGCAGCCCAUAUUUCCUACCGGGUUGAGACCUUGAAUGACUACAGUGCAAAGCCAAGUAGCCCCCAGACCCUUUGAGGAUUAGAACCAGGGUCUCAUAGUUAUGCAAAACACCUCUGAUAUGAUUGAACCUUGAAUAGUUGAAUGACAAAGUUUAUUGAGAUUGCCUCUCUUUUCAUCUGAUUAUUGUCGUCUGAUUAUUCCCAAUCACUUGGCGUGGCUUCAAACGCAGAUUUUCAAAUGGCUAUUGUUUAGGACAACACUGAGAGAUUUUUUCUCUCACAUGUCCACAAACCUCAUUUCGUUGACUAUUGGAACAAGGAAGCAUGAUUCAUGGUGGUAGAAAUGAAAUGCAAAGACAUUCACCAUCCUGAAAAGGAAUACAGCAAACUGCUUCUCAAUAUACGGCAGCGCUAAAAAUAUCUGUGCAUGUUAAUUGUUGAUUUCCUUACAUUGAGCGUUUUAGAUUUUUGAAAAAUGUCCAUCACAAGCUUGUGUAAACCAAGGCUUUAUCUACAAACUGCUUGUUGGCUUCCAUCAACAUCAAACAACAGUCGAUUCUAAAUCAUAAAACUCAAUAUGUAUCAUGGUAUGAUCAAUGUGCUGAUUACAUCCAUGACACUGCUGCCCACUCAAAGCCUCAUAUUCAGUUUGAGCUGAGUGUUCAUCCAUAGAUCCGAGAUCACCUUUUUGUAAUUCACAGACUUGGGAAUUUCCUUCACAUAGUACCCAAAAUGCAUUUCAGCCUCCUAAGCUAAAGCCUCCGAGUUGCUGUGAGCAUCAAACACAACAUCUUGCUUCUGAAAGUGAUUUUACAAACCCCGGGUCCCGUGCAGCCAAAUCAAUGGAAAUUGUUUUUUUCCUUCUGGAAUUUUGUCAUAACGUCCCCAACUGUUUUCAGACCAGCCAUCAAAGGCUCGACUCGACUCGCAGACAUGUAUAGACAGCCACUCAGAGCUGACACGGGGAGGAGGCUUUGAACGUAUGAGAUUGACACUAUUGUGGUCACAAAGCACAACAGGAAACGACUUUGAAGGGGAAAGCGCGCUCUGUAUUGGAUUUCACUUUCGAAAUGGUGGCCGGAGACGGGCCCAAGUAUCAGGCGCGUUGGAUUGGUGUAACAUAAAACACGGAAACCAGACACGGGCGCCGCACGCCACUUCUGCAGUGUCCAAAACAGAAGUGUGAGGAGGUCCAAACUUUUGGUAAACCGCGGAUGAAUACACGCUGAAUCUUUUCUUAAAUCGGAGAUUUGUUGCACACCGUCUCUUCCUUCUGUAUCUUGGGACGUCGCUGGCUUGUGAUGCCAAUGAAAAGUUGACAAUAUAUCCAAGAGAGCGGUACUUUUUUGACUUCACAAAGUAAAACGUCGCCAUCAGAGCCAUGUCUUGUUGGCAGUUUGGGAAUUGAUCAGUCUCAAUCCCGAGCUGCAUGGUUGUCAACUGGCAGGUCUGCUGGAGAUGACAGAUUUUCCGACAGUGCCUUGUCAAUGGCUGCACUUGAGUGAAAUCCCCAGCCAUCUUGGCUCACCGCUGAAGUCAUAUCCAUCAUCGGAUUCUUGACAAAUUCGUCACAGCCGUCUCUCAAUCUAAUUGGUCUUUGAGGUUCCUGUAAGACAAAGACUUCUAAUCUCAGACAGAGUGUGUGUGUGUGUGUGCGUGUGUUUGAAAAGUGCUUGCCAUUGAAUACUUCUCUGCUCUUUGAGCCUGUGUUCAGCGAAGUUUGAAAUACAUGACAGUCUCAUUUUAGGUGCUCUGAUGUCACACAGUCAUUCUGGCUUAAAAGUUCACUCAAUAUGAGGUUUGGUCUACUUUGAUGUCUCUAGUGAAGCGGUUUUAGCAUGCUAUAUCUUCCGCCGCUGUUCUCUGUCACCCACUCCUGCAAAGACUGACGGGAGCUGCCGGAGAUGGGGCUCAGCCAUUUCUUCCUGGUGACUACAAACUAAAGACACGGGGAAGGUGAACUCAGGCAGCACCGUGACAAGCAGAAUGUUGCAACUUCUGCUGGAUGCAUCGUAUUAUCGAUAAAUGUUAGAAGCUUCUUCUUUUUCAAACAGCAUGCAAGACAAAGAUGUCCAGCACCUGUUAGGGGUGCAUUUUAUCAUUCAUUUACAUCAUAUAAAACACUGAUGAGAAGAGACAAAACAGAAUAACACAAGUCAUUUAUGACACACCAAAAAGUAAAACAUGUUAAAUUUGUUGUAAAAAGUUGCAAUUCGUUUAGUUCCUUCUCCUUAUGCAACAUAUACUUUUUUCUAUCUGAGGGAGAGAUUGUGGAGAGAAGGGGGGGGGGGCUACGUGAUGAAGAUCUAGUAAUCUUGUUUUAUGCUCAUGACGGCGCGAGGAGAUCCUCCGCCCCCCUGCGACGUAACGCUCACCUGAAGAACCCCCCCGGAGCUCCACGUGACUGCGCCGCCGCUCGCAUCUCCCUGUCUUGAGAAUUGGGAUUUAGUGGAGGAUUAAAGCAGAAUAUUUCAAUUUAGCGGCGGAAUUUACCUGGCUGUGCCAAAGUAAUUACCCCUUCUGGAUAAACGCUAUUGUGGAAAAACCCAUUUACGAACGGCGAAUAUAUAAACGGCUCAAAGUCAAAUGAAAAGAGGAAAUGUAAUGAAAGCAAUUUUAAAUAUCGCAAGGCAGAUGCCAGAAAUCUUAUUGUAUUACCUUAAAGUCGCGAGAGAAUGCUGCAUUCAGUGUGAAAAGACUGUGUCCACAACUGAGAGGAGAUCAUUUUUAAUCUUCUUCUUUUUUUUGAUAUUGUGAUCGUGAACAGAUAGAGGAAUAGUAUUUGAUGCGUUAAGGAAAAGCAAACAUGAGUCUGAAAUGUCUGUGAUUAAUUUGUAGCCUGAUUAUAAUUGCAAAAGAAUUCUGUGCGUCACUAUUUAGUGUAGUGAACAGGCCUCAUGUAUAACAUAUUAAAACAGAAAAAAAGAAGAGAAUGACAGCAUUUCUUUAAUUUGUACAUUUGGUAAAAUCCGUUGUGAAAACAUGAAAAACAAUUACUUGUCAAACUGAUGAAUAUGUAAAUCAUAAAUAGGAGAUAGAAAGUACGCCAGAAACAAUUAGCUAAUAAUACUUUACCCGAAUAUGCCCUAAUUUACAAUAUUAGUGCGUUUAAAGUCCUGUUUCAAAACGAAUUUCCUUCACAAGAAAACGUGACUUCUGGUGAACAAAACACGUGCAUCUAAUAUUUUAAUAAUAACGCAAUCAUAUCGAUCCUAAUUCUGCCAGUUCUGCAGAGUUGAGCCAUCGCAUUUGUUUUAGUAAGGCCUGGAAACAAUAAACCUGCACAUCACCCUUUUCCAAGCAGUUUAAUAAAUAAUAAAAUCUCAAAUUGGUAAUAAUGUAUUUUAAGAUUUGAAACCGGAAUAAGCAAUAAAUAAAUAAAUAUGCAGAUGCUAUUUGAAAAGAGAAAAUCAUGCUUUUGAUAUCUAUGCAUUAACACAUUAUCUGCAUUGAAUUCAAACUCUACGAGUGGGUCAUUUACGUUGCCUUUCAGUCAGAGAGAGAGAAAUAAAACAGUGGCGUGUCCGUCUGUCCGGGCUGAAAUGCAGGGAAGGAGACAGAGGCCCUCUGUGUGUAUAACCCGUGUAAACAGGGCCGCUCGGCAUUGUGUAAAGUGGGUGGAUUAGCCGGCGGCUUUUGUUGGACGUGGUGUGUACACACGGACGCUGAUUCAGCUCUCCUGAAGCCAUUUCGGCCCUCACAACCUUAAGGAAGUCUUGCGUUACCAAACCUUCAGCCGGAUGUGAUCUAAAUGGGUCCCCGUUGAAACGGUGUCGUCAUGAACUGAUCGCACGAGGCCCUGAGUCGGUUUAAUCGCCACCGAACCGAGACCUUUUAUUAUCGAAUCAAAAAAAGAACCCACCGACGCCUCAACGACUGAUUUGAGUGACGUGAAGUUCGUCAGUGAAAUGAGUCCGCAUGCUGAACCUCCUCCACGGCGCGCGCGCACACGUCUCAGAGCCCACCCGCCGCGCGUGCACCGCGCAUGGCGGAUAUCGAGGUGUAAAUACAAACAAUUUGCACAUUUCCUAAUAAUUGCAGUAUUUGGACCAAUUAGGCCAGAUAAUCUAACGGCUGGUUUAUUAUCUGUGGUUAAUUAAUCGUUGUAUCAAUCAUCCUAAUAAGAUCCAUCCCAAUCAAUUAAACGAGGACUUGUAAUCCUCACUGUCAAGCGUCCCCGCCUCCACGUCGGGAAAGGGAUCCUUAUUUUAAAAUUCCUUGAUUUUGCAACUUCGCAGAUGCAACGCAGUCCCCUCUUUAAUUUCAUCAACUUGUUUCUAUCCCAAACUUUUAUUGACUCUCUCCAUUUCGUGCUGCCUUAUUGUGAAUAUGAAAUUGAAGUUCUCUGAGAAGAAAGAGGAGACUCUGUUUCAUCGGGCACCAAUUAAAUCGGCCUAUAUGUAACUUCACGACACUUUGAUCAUUUUAAUGACUAAAUAAAGAAGGUCAGAAUAUUUAUAAUGAAGAAAGAGUAACCAGAGUAGCCAGGAGGCCUCAAUGUGUUAUCAGUAUUAUCAGUAGCAUCCACCUGCAUCUAGCACGGAGCCUUCCGCUCCUUUUGAAUGUUUUCGUCCAAUUGAGUUUGAAUUAUUUAAUAUGUCUAUUUAAUUUAUAAUUUGCUGCAUGAUAUUUAAAUCGAGCUGCUGAUUUAUUUAAUCGUGAAAGGUAUAUGAAACAAUGUGUAAUAAACAACACGAAGGGUACAAACGUGUGAUCAGAAUUUAUUCCAUGGUAUGAUUUUGUGUUAUUGUCCGACCCAUUGUUUCACACCUGCUUAAACCAAUAAACACAUAAAUCAUCUUCACUUCAUCCAAAUUGUGCUUGUCACCAUCUUCCUCUUCAGUGACACAAUAUAGUAAAAGGAGUAAAUAUUCGUAUUGAUGUCAUAAUUACAAUAAAACAAACGUUUUGCAUCUUUGGCUUUUCAUUGUGUAUCCGUUAGUGUCUUAAAAAUACCGUUUCCAUUAGGCUUAAGAUCGCCGACACGCACGCGCUGACUGACUUUGAUUGCGCCUAAUUGGAAAUGAUUUGCGUCAUCGCGUCUGUUUGUGGGUGAAUCUGCUGAGGAUGGUUAUCAACACGUGUCGGUCGCCUCUUCAACGGGUCAUCGCAGUUUCUCCCGUUUCUUCAGACUAACCAUUCUAUUUGUGUUUGUAUUCAGAACCCAGACAGGUAAGGGAUUAGAUCCUGUCACAACAGGGAGCUUUGAACCGAACGAAGGGUUAAUUGUCUUCAACACACAAUGCGCUUGUGAAUGCGACGUUCUUCACGGCAGCGCUGUUAUUGAGAAAAAAAGCUUCCCAGAAAAGUUUGUCUUUUUCAUUUUUUUCUAAAAAUAGCAAAUAAAAGAAAGAAAGAAAGAAAAUAAUGGGAGCUUUUGUUAUUGUGAGUAUUGUAAAAAAAAAAACUGUAAAGUAAAUACGCCCCUCUCUCUACAUAUGACAGAGGGUCUUAAUUAUACAUCAGUUCAAAGACUUAAGGAUUUUGCUCCCCUAUCUGUUCCUAUGAGAUACUGACCAACAAUUAGGGGAAUAAUUCAGCAGCUAUACUUCAAAGUACAACGCUGCAUAAGUCACAGGUGCAAUAAAAAAAUGCAUCCUUGCAAUCCCAAGUUUUUAUUGCAAAAAGGGUUAGCGUUACAAUGUGGGAACCUGUCUGCUUUCCUCCCAACCGGGAUCAGUUAAGAUUCCCGUGUGCUUGUGACAAGAAGAAGAUGUCCUGCGAAAUGAAGCAGAAUCUGACAUGAAAGACUCAUCCCUGCCUCCCCUCCUUGAAUGUAAGAUAAGUACUUUGAGAGGUAUGUGCCAGAGCCACGAGGGAAUGAGCUUUACUCACAGAUGUAACACGUUUAAACCUACUGAUGCAAUGAAAGCUUUACAUUCAAUGGACAGCAAGGGAAGAUGAGUCAUGCGUAUUUUGUCUUUGAUGAACAUUAUUUGAUAAGCCAUUAGAAUGAACUGUACAAAGCUCACAUUAUAUCUCACUGGAUUCUUAGAGACACGGUCAUUUCAUUAUUUAGCGUGGAAAUGUCCAUGGAGCUAACUGCGCCUUAUUUCUGCCCGUCCCGUAGUUGUCUUUUUGUUUGACUGCGCCUCCAUGUGCCCCUGUGCCAAUGCGAGUGCGUGCCCAUAUGUGGGGGUACGAGUGCUCCACUGUUACUCUGUGCCUGUGUGUGCGCCCAUGUGUGUUGUGUGCAGCCCAUUAGUGGAGUUUAACCCCUGUGUUCAGGGAGUCACAUCCCCUCAACCCACCGGGCUCCAUUCUUACUGCAGCACGUUAACAUUUUAUUCUCCCCCCCCCUUCACUUUUGUCCUAAGAGGGCAAUUAAGGAAACAAACGUUUUCCCCAAGAUAAGCUGGCUGCCAGCUUUGCAUACUAAUGCAUUGCCAAGUGGUUACAAAUAGUGAGUGCUCUAAUUACUGCCACUGUUUUCAAUCAGAAAUUGCUCAAUUUCCCAGGAUGAGGUCUCCAUGGCUGGAGAAAAAAAAAAAAAA